This 598-nucleotide ribosomal RNA is filed under the name uncultured bacterium. Its description in RNAcentral is "bacterial SSU rRNA". It matches the Rfam family "Bacterial small subunit ribosomal RNA", at positions 875 to 1482 of the family's 1533-position model. The record is from RNAcentral.
GGGGAGUACGACCGCAAGGUUGAAACUCAAAGGAAUCGACGGGGGCCCGCACAAGCGGUGGAGCAUGUGGUUUAAUUCGAAGCAACGCGAAGAACCUUACCAGGUCUUGACAUCCCGGUGCCCGUCCUAGAGAUAGGAUUUUGCUUCGGCACACCGGUGACAGGUGGUGCAUGGUUGUCGUCAGCUCGUGUCGUGAGAUGUUGGGUUAAGUCCCGCAACGAGCGCAACCCUUAUUGUUAGUUGCCAUCAUUCAGUUGGGCACUCUAGCGAGACUGCCGGUAAUAAACCGGAGGAAGGUGGGGAUGACGUCAAAUCAUCAUGCCCCUUAUGACCUGGGCUACACACGUGCUACAAUGGCUGGUACAACGAGUCGCAAGUCGGUGACGGCAAGCUAAUCUCUUAAAGCCAGUCUCAGUUCGGAUUGUAGGCUGCAACUCGCCUACAUGAAGUCGGAAUCGCUAGUAAUCGCGGAUCAGCACGCCGCGGUGAAUACGUUCCCGGGCCUUGUACACACCGCCCGUCACACCACGAGAGUUUGUAACACCCGAAGUCGGUGAGGUAACCUUUAGGAGCCAGCCGCCUAAGGGCAAAAAGGGUG